CCCUUAGAUGUUCUGGGCCGCACGCGCACUACACUGAUGCAUUCAACGAGUUUCUUCCUGGUCCGAGAGGAAUGGGUAACCUUUUGAAAGUGCAUCGUGAUAGGGAUAGACUAUUGCAAUUAUUGGUCUUCAACGAGGAAUUCCUAGUAGACGUAGUUCAUCAGACUGCAUCGAUUACGUCCCUGCCCUUUGUACACACCGCCCGUCGCUCCUACCGAUUGAAUGCUCAGGUGAGCCAUUCGGACUUUCAUCAUGCUGGUUUCCAGUUUUGAUGAAGGAAAGUCUUGCGAACCUUAUCAUUUAGAGGAGGGAGAAGUCGUAACA
RNAcentral lists this ribosomal RNA (324 nucleotides) under uncultured eukaryote. Its description in RNAcentral is "partial 18S ribosomal RNA". It matches the Rfam family "Eukaryotic small subunit ribosomal RNA", at positions 1470 to 1796 of the family's 1831-position model. The record is from RNAcentral.